Non-coding RNA from Dermacentor andersoni, 194 nucleotides. The record is from RefSeq and is a predicted model, not a curated record. NCBI's taxonomy places the organism in Eukaryota, Metazoa, Arthropoda, Arachnida, Ixodida, Ixodidae.
AACGUUGCGAACGUAGGCGUGGCUGACGCGGGCUAAAGUGUAGUAUCUGUUAUCCGCUCAAUAUCUGAUACGGGUUCUAUUUGGACCCAAGUUAUUAAACUUAUUUUUGCACGUUGGCGGAGUGUUUGAAGUCUGCUUCACCUCCGCCAUGGUAGGCCCGGUAUUGCACUAUCGCCAGGAUCGGCCCACGGUUU